CCGUGCUAGGCGGGGGGCUCGGGGUCCCCUGAACCGGACACCCUCGAUAUGCCGGGCCGAUUACUCGUCUGCGGCUUGUGAACAGCCGGAUCGCCCCCGGCAAGCAGUGUUGAUGGUCGGGUCCUGCGCGACCUGGAGCCGUGAACCCGGUCAGGCCCGGAAGGGAGCAGCCGUAAGCGGUGUACCUCGUGUGCCGCAGGGUCGCCCGACCGGAGCCGGCUACCGGGGAUAGCGCCGACGAUUCGCAAGUCCAAGACGAGGUGCACGG
This 268-nucleotide signal recognition particle RNA is filed under the name Actinomycetota bacterium. RNAcentral describes it as "signal recognition particle sRNA large type". It matches the Rfam family "Bacterial large signal recognition particle RNA". From Rfam's summary of the family: The signal recognition particle (SRP) is a universally conserved ribonucleoprotein involved in the co-translational targeting of proteins to membranes. Archaeal SRP consists of a 7S RNA and homologues of the eukaryotic SRP19 and SRP54 proteins. Lineage: Bacteria; Bacillati; Actinomycetota. The record is from RNAcentral.